Long non-coding RNA from Girardinichthys multiradiatus, 1752 nucleotides. RefSeq lists it as uncharacterized. The record is from RefSeq and is a predicted model, not a curated record. The transcript has 3 exons. Lineage: Eukaryota; Metazoa; Chordata; Actinopteri; Cyprinodontiformes; Goodeidae.
UCUCACUCAACUUGCCUUAGUUUCUAAGCUCUCUGUUUGCAUUGUUCCUUACUGGUUCCUUCUGUUAAUACCCUGUUAUCAUCCUCGUUACCUAGCCUGUGCCCUGGUCCGGUCCUGAUUCCUUCCAUGUCUGUUGUGAAGAUUUUUUAUGCAUCUGCUUCCAACAUGUUUAUGUUUUUUCACCUGCCUGAGUCCCUGUGCCUGGUCUUUGGCCUCCAGACGAAGUCCGAUCCGCCCGGUGGGAUUCCAGUCCAGAGGAAUGAGGCGGAGAAAGCGAGCCACUGCAGUCUGCUGUAGUUUGUACUGAACCACACUGUCUGCAUUAGAGUUACCUGGAAAAGACUAAAAACACACAGAUAGACACAUUAUACAUGUAAUUGUUCCAGCUAGGAGAACCAGACAUCUGUCUCAUCCAGCCAUAUUCUCCAGUUCCUCAGAGCAGGGUGCCAAUGUUCAGUCCACCGGAACCAUCCAGCAACUAGAUGCAUCUCUUCUUCAACACAACUGAAUCAAAUGGCUGAAUUCCCUCAUCAGUAGGUCAUUCAGCUCUGCAGAGACCUGGUAACGAGCAAUUUAUUUGAUUCAGGUGUGAGAAACGUUGCAUCCAAAUGUUGCAGGACAGUAGCUCUCAAGGAUUAAAGAUGGGCAUCCCUGUCACAGAGGAUCCCAAGACCUUCCUACUCCAGAAAUGAUAUCCCUUCAGAGAGUCUUGUGUGACCUUGGGUCACCUCCUAGUGAGACAUGCCCUGAAAAACUCCAAAUUGAGACACCAAGGAUGCCUCCUGACUAGAUGUCCAAACAAUCUCAACCUCCGUUUGAUGUAGAGGAGCAGUGGGUCUAUUCCCACCUCUCCUAGGAUUAUUAAGUCCGACCACCCCAGAGAGGAAUCUCAUUUCGACGGUUUGUACCCAGGAAUUAUUUCUUUUGGCCAUAGCAAAUACUGAACGUAGAUGCUAGAGGUACCAGUCAAUCGAGUGCUUCUUCUUUAUCUUUUUGACAAAGAUAGUUCAGAGCAACAUCCUUAUUACUGCUAACAAAGCCCUGUUCCAUCUAUGCACCCGCUAACUCCAUCCUGCAUCUACUAUGGAACACAUCCCGAUACUUGAACCGCUCUGCUUGAAGCAGACUCAGCCCCUACCCAGAGGAAACACUCUGCACAUGUCCCGUUCAGCACCAUGACAUCUCAUUCACUGGAACUGACUCAUAGGCUGUCCACUUCACAUCCAGCUGCAAACCACUCAAGUGAACACUGAAGAUAAUGGUUCCUAAACUAGACACCAUCUUCUCCACAACUGUGCCUUAGCGAUCCUGUCCAUGAACAUCUCAAACAAGAUCAGAGACGAGGGGAAACCCUGAUGGAGUCCUACCAAUGGUGGAGAAAACCUCUUUGUGUCGAGUGAUACAGAGACCGGGUAACCGACAGAAGAAGGCCCUGUUGUUUUAACUCCAACAGAAUAUUAGAGGAUUAUUAUAAGAUUAUCCCAUUUUUUUGCAAUCAAAGUAGAUGUCCCUAAGCUUUAUCUGACUUUUAGUAAACUGAAAAAAGUGCAUCAAUGCAAAUACCAUUUGAUUUCUGUUUGUAGACCAAAUUAUUUUGAAAGCCUUAGUUUAGAUUCAUUUAAAAUGGGGGAGGGGUAAAAAGAAAACAGAUUUUAUUUGAGUAUUUGACCUGAUUGCUGAUCAGAGGUUGGCAUGGAAAAAUUGUACUUUUGCUGAAUAUACCUUGAAUGACAAAGUAUAUUUUAUAAAUAA